This 130-nucleotide small RNA is filed under the name Azomonas agilis. RNAcentral's name for it is "HgcC family RNA". The record is from RNAcentral. Lineage: Bacteria; Pseudomonadati; Pseudomonadota; Gammaproteobacteria; Pseudomonadales; Pseudomonadaceae.
GUGGACUGCGGUACAGCCCAUGACCGCGAUGUAAACGCGGCACGGAACAUUCUUGCGGCGGGGCAUCGCCGUCUAGCUGUAGGAAUCCCCGUCCUUUAGGGCGGGGAGGAUGUCAACCUUUCAUGCCUUC